Artibeus jamaicensis (Jamaican fruit-eating bat) is the source of this 1475-nucleotide long non-coding RNA. RefSeq lists it as uncharacterized. The transcript has 3 exons. Lineage: Eukaryota; Metazoa; Chordata; Mammalia; Chiroptera; Phyllostomidae. The record is from RefSeq and is a predicted model, not a curated record.
UCCUCUGAAUGGCUUCCGCCCAGACUGUUUGUCCAGCUUCUCCACCAGCAGGGGAGGGAGGAAUGGGGACAGACAGGACGUGACUGGAGAAGAGCUGCUGAAGCCAGUUUGUAAGUGACAUGGAGACUCAGACAUCCAGGGCCUAUGGCCUUGAUCCUGAGUUCAUGCCUUCUAUCUGCAGAGAGGUGCGGGACUCAGGGCACUGUCCCAGGUGAGUCCUGUCACCGAGGGGACUAAUGAGUGCUGACGGGAAAGAAAAAGCAUCUUCUCAGGAGGGGAAGGAGCAGCAGCCUGACUUGAGGAUUGGACCGUUGGCCUGGACUCCCAGCUUCACCUCUCGGCCCGGUGACUCUGGGCAGGUCCUCUACCUUAAAUCUCGGCUUCCACAUCUGUGACGUGUGGAUAAUCCGUGGGGGGGGUGGGGUGGUUAAGGAGAACUUGUGACAAGUGGCAGGUGCUGGUGGCCCUGUGGCACCAGGACCCUGUGUCGGGAGGCCUUGGAGUGCUGCGGUCGGCUCUAAGAGCAGAGCAGGGUACGGCAGCCACCUCCCCCACUGCUCUGGGACCCCCAGGCGCCCCUGCCCUCUGCACUGGUGAACGGCUCUGGUUCCACUUCGGGGUGGCAUGGAGUCCCUCCUCCAGUCCAGAUGGUCUGGGAGGUGCCCCAAACCCAGAACCCCCACGGCCCCUCACUUUGUAGCUACCUCCCCAGACGCCCUCUGCCCAGUGUUACUGAGGCUCCUUUAAAACACUGGCCCACAUGUGCAUAAUUACCUUUGGGCACAGGUAAGAGAAACCAGAAUUACAGAAAAGAAUGAAACCCUAGAUUUCUCAGCUCUGGGCCUGGCUCUACUUGGGGGUGGGGUGAGGUGGGGGGAGCCCACCAGAAAAGGUGGGAUCCUGCCCCUGCCGGUAAGGGGUCCUCAGGAGACACCCCAAACUAACACCCUGACCGUGUGGGAAGCCUGGUCAGCAUCCAACGAGAGGCCACUCUGUCCCAGGAACUUCACUCCUACGGGCACACAGGCUGCUGCACCCAGAUGUGCCCUGCACACAGGUGAGCCAGGGACCAGUGUGACAGCCCCAAGUGUUGCCAGGGAAAGAGAUGGCGAGUCACUGGUGGAAACACGAGCCCCAGUGUGGACCUGCCUUUCUGCUAACAAGACGGUCCCCUGGCAGGGGUGAUCCCUGGUGAACUGGGUCAUGCAGCUGGCCUUUUGUAGGGGCUGUUGGGAAUGCGCGUCCACAGUCACCACGCCGGCAGGCUGUUAGAACAGACGCACCGAACAUUCUCGAGGGGAGGUCACACUGAGCUCGCCUAGUAGCAAAAACUGUCGGCAAAGAAACCCACUGCCAGUUCCUAGUCUGAGCUGACAUAGCCCUGCGCCUGCUGGUGACCCUCCUGUGACCUCUCUCUGGAGCUGGGUGGUGGACAGAUUCCCUUCCUUCCUUCUCUCAACCAUUUCUCCAGCCAA